GCCAGGCAUGGUGGUGCGUGCCUGUAGUCCCAGCUACCUGGGAGGCUGAGGUGGGAGAUUCACCUGAGCCCAGGAGUUCCAGGUUGCAGUGAGCCAUGAUUGCCCCACUGACUGUACUCUAGCCUGGGUAACAGAGCAAGACCCCAUCUCUA
Molecule: non-coding RNA, 152 nt
Filed under: Chlorocebus sabaeus (green monkey)
Lineage: Eukaryota; Metazoa; Chordata; Mammalia; Primates; Cercopithecidae
Source: Rfam by way of RNAcentral